Molecule: ribosomal RNA, 253 nt
Filed under: uncultured bacterium
Lineage: Bacteria
Description: partial 16S ribosomal RNA
Rfam family: Bacterial small subunit ribosomal RNA
Source: RNAcentral
UACGAAGGGGGCUAGCGUUGCUCGGAAUCACUGGGCGUAAAGGGUGCGUAGGCGGGUCUUUAAGUCAGAGGUGAAAUCCUGGAGCUCAACUCCAGAACUGCCUUUGAUACUGAGGAUCUUGAGUUCGGGAGAGGUGAGUGGAGCUGCGAGUGUAGAGGUGAAAUUCGUAGAUAUUCGCAAGAACACCAGUGGCGAAGGCGGCUCACUGGCCCGAUACUGACGCUGAGGCACGAAAGCGUGGGGAGCAAACAGG